RNAcentral lists this small nuclear RNA (104 nucleotides) under Dasypus novemcinctus (nine-banded armadillo). The record is from RNAcentral. Lineage: Eukaryota; Metazoa; Chordata; Mammalia; Cingulata; Dasypodidae.
GUGCUUGCUUCGGCAGCACAUAUACUAAAAUUGGAACAAUACAAAGAUUAGAAUGGUCCCUGCGCAAGGAUGACAUGCAAAUUUGUGAAGCGUUCCAUAUUUUU